Long non-coding RNA from Mytilus trossulus (common blue mussel), 3593 nucleotides. RefSeq lists it as uncharacterized. The record is from RefSeq and is a predicted model, not a curated record. Lineage: Eukaryota; Metazoa; Mollusca; Bivalvia; Mytilida; Mytilidae. The transcript has 3 exons.
AAAACUUGGUGAUUAAUUUUAUAUGUUAUGCCAAAUAAUUAAAUGCUUAUCAUUUAUGUUUGUUUUAAGAAUUAUCUUUUCAAAGGAGUCUUUUAAGAGGAGAUAACUCUUUCAGUAAAAAAAAUUAUACUGGACUAAUAGGUUUUUUUUGUGUUUUUUUUUACUUGUAGCAAAAAUAUGCGACUACUACAAAAGUACAGUUAAUUUGGGAAAAAAAUAAAUACCAUGUGUAUUGCUCAACUUUAUAUCAGGGCAUCUUCUAUUCUGUCUUUCUGUUAUUAUUUCUUCAGGUCCACUUUGAGCUUCAUCCACUGAAACAAAGAAUGAAGAUUGAAGUCUUGCAGUGUAAUUUAUCUCCCUUGGAAAUUCAUGGUCAAUGCUGUGUCCAUCACUCGAUCCUGUGUCAUCUUCUGGAAAAGUAAAGAAAGCAAUUUCAUCAUAACUGAUUAGAUGUGCUGAAAUGAUGUAAAUUAGGUCCACAGUCUUGUGAAUGAUUUUCAUGUGGGCCAUCUAAAAAUUCAACAUGACCUUCUGAUGUCUUCCACCAUACAUUGAUACCAACUUCAAGAAAAUCAGAAAUUCUUUGACAGUGUGCUUGUAUUAGACGGUGUCUGGAAGCAAUUAACUGACCGGGAAUGAUGGAGUUUCCUCUGGGAGGAAGCAAACGAGCUUGCUGGCUGAUGGCUGAAUCCUGAUGUUCAAAAGAAUCAAUUUGGUCUUCACUGUCCUGCUUUGCUAAAAAUCUCAAGACACAGUUAUCAACAACAUAUUUGGCUUGUCGGUUACUGGUUCUGACAGAGAUAGAUCUAAGAUCUCCAAAUGUCCUUUCCUGGUUUUCUGGAAGAAGGGACCUUAAGCAAAAUAGUCGAUACAUUUCAGGAAAAUGAACUGUGAAGCUGUGGAAGUGUGAGCCAUAAAAUUUUCCUUUUGUAAGUUUCUUAGGGUUGAUGAUGACAUAUUUGAUCAAAAUGGCAAAAAGAAAGCAUUGGUUAUAUAAUCUUAAAACCUGCUUUUGUGUCCUUUCAUUUGAACGACUGUAACAAAUGGUAAUGAUUUCUACAAGGCUGUUGCAGAUUGUCAGGAUGUCAGCAUUAACAAGACCAUCUUCGUAAUUCAUAUUAGUGAAGUGAGCUAGCUUGAUAGCGUAUAAGCGUGCAUUGCUGGCUUUCAAUUCAUUUUUGUCACCCACAGUAACUUCAAAGAACCUCAGGUAUUCUUUUUGAAUGUUGUCAUCAAGGUGGUAUGGCAAUUCAGUUAUCAAGUUUUGAACAACAUUCACAAUGUCGUGAAGUGGCUCACAGUUGGAAAUUUCAUAUUGUUCUAAAUUUUCGGUGGUACAUGUAUUGUCAAAAUUGGGACAAAACAAGGCAGGUGGUCUCUGUAUUCCAUGUAGUGUCUCUGUAAGAAGUGUUUUCAGUUCAGGUUUUUUUAAGUUGUAAAUAUCAAGGUUUCUGUAAUCUAGCUCAUCAGUAAGGGUUUCCUUGGUUAAAUUUACAAAGGGGUUGAUGUUGUUCUGCAUGUUGAAAGUUUUCCACAGAGUACCAGCUUUAAAAAGAUCAAGACGUUGUUGUAAAGAUUGAGUUUUCUGGAUAAAAGCUGCUUCAAAAUUUGUGUGGUUCACUGCAGCUAAGCCACAGAUACAUCGGUAAUUGCCUCCCCUUUGCUGUCCACACUCAAAUUGUCGGGCAGGAUUGUCCCCAGUGAAAAUCCUGACUAUGUCAUAGACCUUUAAACCAUCGGGAGCAAUUGAUGGAGUGCUUAGAUCUUUAAGGUCCUCCACCCUUGUCGUACUGUAUGACAUCUGGUCAGAAUCGCUACUCUUUGACUGACCAAAUAUGUAGAGCUUUGGCUUUUCAACAAUGCUUUGUACAUCAAUAGCUUUUUGAUCAGGGUAUUUUUCAGUGUAUUCCUCAUUUGUAAGAUAGAUAUUUUCAUCGAACAAACAGGAAACCAUUAUCAAAAAGUAUGGCCUACUCAAGAUGCCAGAAUGGUCAUGCCACAAUUUCAAAUGACGAUGGAUGGUGUUGGCAGACGCCCUGAAAAAACCCAUUUCAGACUGUUCAUUUGUCAGCUUCUGACAUAACUGGUGAAGGGGAAAUUUUCUGCCAUAAACUGUCACAAUCUUUUCUACCAAUUCACCAGUGGUUGUUAUGUUAUUGGAUUUAAAGACUUUAGGAGCAACUGCAACACCUAUAUCCAAGUCGCCAGUCUGUAAUAGUUCCCUUACUUCUUUCUUAAGUUGUUUGGCUGGUCUUGGUGUUGGUGUUGAGAGACGUUUACAUAAUAUGUGUUUAGCCCUACGAACUCGCCUGAAGUAAUCCCUGCCGCUUAUUCUUUUAGUUUCAUUAAAUUUUUUAACUUCAACUCCUUCAGAUUUUGCAAAUUGGUAUAAAACCUGACCUCCAUUGAGUGGAAAUUUAUGAUAAGCGUUUUUGACCUGAUAUUUUCUUGAUAAUUCGGUCCAGUUUACGUUUGAUUUUGCAGGAAGUGAUUUGAUUUCAUUAAUGAACUUAUUCUUGUCGAAUUCAUAAUUGUUUAUGUUUCCUAUACUUUUUCUCUGUUUUUUUAUUUUUUUGGCCUCUUCUCUGAAUCUUUUAGCUAGGUUUUGUUUUGCUUUGGACUUACUAAUAAAAAAUGUUCCCAAUCUUUCUCUUUCAUAUUCACUAUAUGAUUUUGUUGAUGCUAGAAAGUUUCUAACUUUAUUAUCUGCAUUUAGUAGGUUGGACAUUUCUUCUUUUUGUUUUGAUAGUACAGAUUUUAUUUCUUUUUCUUUUUCUCCUGAAGUCAACUUUGGUGUUAGUUUAUAAUUUUUGCAAAUUACGUCUGUAAAAUUACUUCCAGUUUUCUUUUCUAUGUACGGGACAAUUGUUUUCACAACUUUAAUCAUUUUGCCAUCAUUGUUAGUUUUUGAAGUGUUGCAAACUGUUGUUGUAAGUUGAGUGCAUAAUUGGUCGAUAUCAUUUGUUGUUUGUGGUGCACUGGCAGCAUGCAGAGACGUGUGGAAGGCAUCGGAUUUACAAAUAUUGCAAUCUUUUUGCUGAUGGCCUUUUCUUUCAAUUUCACUGAGUUUACACCAGUUUUUCAGGUUAUAUUUUUCUAUGAAGAGAGUUUUUUCGCCUGAUUUGUUACAAUUUUUCCAAUAUUUUGUCUUUGUAAGAUAAAUUUGCACCCGAGGGACUCUAGAUUUGAACUCGGCUAAUGGUAUAUACAUUUUGGGGUAUUUAUUCAUUAUAACAUGAUAAUUGUUAUAUCUUUGAAAUACAUUUAUGUUUUGACUGUGGUUAGGCACGGUUGUAUAAAUUGAGUUUUCUCUGGAAUUUUCAACUUGCUUAUUGUUCCACCAUUUCAGAUUAUCUGGGUCUUUGGUUGAUCUAGCCAAGAUCACCUUUGCAUAGUUGCACAUAUUCAUGUUUGCAGGUUAUUUGUCAAAAGAUUGUUGAAACAUUGUGUCAAAUUUUAAAAUAUGUUGUGUCCUCCAUGAUGAUUUCAGCUAUUUUUUUGUUUAUAGAUUAUAUUUAUAUAUGUAUUGAAUCUUAAAAAAAGAAUGUUGUGCAUUUUCACAGAAAUAAAAAUAAAACUGAUCAAUGGCAUUC